AUGCCAAUUGCAUGGACUGAAAGUUUAACAUUGAGAUUAGUAACUCUUUAUAGUAAACACGAGUGUUUAAGAAAUCCUUUUCACCCAAAUUUUAGAAAUAAACUAUGUCGUUACAAAGCUUACAAAGAGAUCGUGAAUUCUAUGAACGUUUGUGGUUUAACAGUUUGUGAUUGUAUCAAAAGAAUUACUUAUGUAAAAGCUCAAUAUUGUUAUGAAUUGUCUAAAAUUAGUGCUGCGAUAUCUUGUGAGAAGUUUUACAGUCCAACAAUGAGCUGGUUUCCAAUAGUACAUCAAUUAUUCUUUCCAUUUAUAGCAACUUAUAGUGAUACUUGUGAGAAGUAUGAUGAUAAAAAAGACACAUUUAAAAACUACUGUGACGAAAUAUGCGAUCAAUACAGAAUACGUUCAAAUUCUGUAGAACAAAAAGUAUUAAAUAAGGAUUACAAUUAUUCAUAUGCAACUUGUUAUUGUGAUAAAUCGAAUAUAAUUAAACCUCGUACUCGUAUCAAAAAACUAGAAAAGUCAUUUUUUAUCCCGGAUGAACAUAAAGAACCUACAGAUUGCAAAAAUUAUUUAUAUACGCAAAAAAUAGCUCGAAAUGAUGUUGCUAAUAAUACCAAGAAAAAUAUCAAUACAGAACAUGCAACCCAAACUGAAAUCUCUUAUUUCAAAACUGCAUGUACAACUUGCCAAGUGUGUACAGAAAAUGAAAUAUCUAACACUGCGAAUCUGAUGACUAUAAUGAUGAAAAAUGAUCCGAAGGAUAUUGGUUGUAUAGAUUAUAUUUUGGCAGAAAAUGAUAUUAAAGAAGCAAGGAAAAUUGAUGAGUUUGACAUGUUCGGCAAGAGUAUUGCGUUUCAAUUGCGAAAUAUAAGUUUUGAAGUUGCUAUUAAAUUAGAGAAACAUAUACAAGACCUAAUUACUCAAGAACGUCUGGAUAAUAUGAAAUCGAGAUAUUUGGAUUGUUAUACAUCUUCAACUUGUAGUGAAUGUACACUAUUACAUAAGGAAAUUACUUGUAGCUGCGGUCUUCCAGUUAUAAAAAUUAAGACCGAUUCUUCUUAUGAAUUCGAUUGUAAACAAUGGAAAUAAAAAUUUACGAAUUAUCUAUAUUUGUCUAGUAAUUAAAAAAAAAUCUAUCGAAAGAUAUAAUAAGUAAAACAUAACGUUGAUUCAUAAUGUUAAUUCAUAGAAUUGCAAAAAGAAAGUUAAUAAAAUAAUAUAAAAUAAUUUGACAAAUGCUUUCGUUCGAUGUAUCGCGCGAUCAAAUUCAGUUGUAUUCUUUAACCAAAAUUGACUUUAUUAUGUGGAUAGAUUUAAAAUUAUAAACAUACAUAAAAUUAUUAAACACUGUUUUUUCAGUAAUAUCGUAUUAAAAUUUGUUGAUAAAAAUAUUCUUAUUACAAAAUGUCAUGCAAAUGGAACGAGAAAUUAGUGAUUAAUUUUUUAGAAGAAUACAAGCAAUAUCCAUGUCUCUGGAACCCUUAUCAUAAGGAUUAUUAUAAUUGUUACGAGAAGAAUAAGGCAUUUCAAAAAAUAAUCGAUGACCUCAAUAUACCUGGCUUUACUGUAAUUGAUUAUUUGCACCAAAUCAAGAGUAUAAGAGAAAAGUAAUAUAUAAAGUGGAGCAAAUGAAAAUAAUCAAAACUUUACAACAAUGUCAACAAGAAUAUAAAUCAUCAUUUUCUUGGUAUAACAUAGUAGCAGAUAUGUUGGCGAAAGUAAUCACAGACGAGGAAAGAGUCCAGCAACGAGAAACAAUCAACAUUCUCAAAUCUUUAAGUAGUGAUAACAUAAAAAGAGUUAAUAAUGAAAAAAUUUAUGAACAGAGAAAUAAAUCGAUAGAAAAAUCAUCUCGUUUGCACAGGAAAAAUAACCUGAAUACAAUAAUAAAAGAAAAAAAAUAAGAUAUGUUCCUUAUUCACAACUUAGGCCAAAGGAUAAUUAUUAAUAGAUCGAAAAGAAGAUCAUCCAUCACUUUUAAGACCAACUAGAGAUACCGAGUUUGAAGUAACGGAAUAUCCUGAGCUUGUUUCAAAAACUUCAAUGGAUUCUAAACUUAAUGAUAUUUCUUCUUUAACAAAAAAUUAUGAUUCACCAUUUUUAAAAUGUCCAUUAUGUGGUUGGGAAGAUAUAAAAUAUAAGGAAAUUGAGGAAAACUCAAAAAAAAAUUAUACUUCUUGUUCUGGAUAUAAUAAAGACAUUUUUGGAGUUUA
Molecule: unclassified non-coding RNA, 2216 nt
Filed under: Apis florea (little honeybee)
Lineage: Eukaryota; Metazoa; Arthropoda; Insecta; Hymenoptera; Apidae
Description: uncharacterized LOC100867011, transcript variant X1
Source: RNAcentral